UAUCCGUUUCGCAAUUGGCAUGGGUUGA
Molecule: non-coding RNA, 28 nt
Filed under: Bombyx mori (domestic silkworm)
Lineage: Eukaryota; Metazoa; Arthropoda; Insecta; Lepidoptera; Bombycidae
Source: RNAcentral